UUUACAUAGGAUUCCAUUCCAACAAUAUCUCCUCCCAUUCCCAACACACUUACAUAUAUAUAUAUAUAUCUCACAGUUUUGCAAACUAAUUAAGGCCCUAAUCAUAUCACAUGUACUUGAGCUAUGAAGUCCCAUUUCAUGGCUGCCCUCGCACUUACUUUGCUUCUCUCUCUACAUUUUCAUGUGAGAGAAGCAGAAGCAAGCAGGCCACUUGUUGCUCACCCAACAUCAUCUUCGCACAAACUCUCAAAAACUUGAGAGAGAAGGAGAAGAGACAUUACAAGAAGAUGAAGUCCAGCUCUAGAAGGGUGCCUCCAAGCCGCUCGAAUCCAACGCAGAAUUAGUACAUUCCCUAGUCCUUCAGAAAUUGAACCAUUUUUCUCAAAAAUAUGUUUCUUUCUUCUUAUAUUAUGUGUUCUGUUCAUGAUCAACAGUUGAUAGCUUCUUAUGUUUUUUUUAGGUUAUAUAUAUAGUACGUAAUGAGCUCCUAGGAUAUAGGAUCUUGUUGCAGCUUUUAGAUCAUAAAUUUUUAUUUUUAUUUUUUUGUAAUAUACUGGUCACAUUUUGUUGUUUAGUGGUAAUUCAUUGUUUAAGCUAUUAUUUUCCUCACAUGAUGAUAUGUCGGAGUUUAUCCGCA
Molecule: long non-coding RNA, 637 nt
Filed under: Salvia miltiorrhiza (redroot sage)
Lineage: Eukaryota; Viridiplantae; Streptophyta; Magnoliopsida; Lamiales; Lamiaceae
Description: long non-coding RNA (SMIL_LNC002686)
Source: RNAcentral